RNAcentral lists this microRNA precursor (107 nucleotides) under Canis lupus familiaris (dog). RNAcentral describes it as "mir-8834 microRNA precursor family". It matches the Rfam family "mir-8834 microRNA precursor family". The record is from Rfam by way of RNAcentral. RNAcentral also lists the same sequence under 1 other name. Lineage: Eukaryota; Metazoa; Chordata; Mammalia; Carnivora; Canidae.
AGGAGGAACAACCACAGUGGCGGCAGCCAGCUCUGCAGCCCUAGAGUCAGCUCCCGCAGUAACUAGGGAGCUCUCAGUCUGCAGGGACCUGGAGGCUCUGGGGCGGG